Molecule: long non-coding RNA, 1151 nt
Filed under: Musa acuminata (dwarf banana)
Lineage: Eukaryota; Viridiplantae; Streptophyta; Magnoliopsida; Zingiberales; Musaceae
Description: long non-coding RNA (MACU_LNC000433)
Source: RNAcentral
ACGAUGUUAUAAUAAUAAAAAUAAUAAAUAUUUACAAAAAUAGAAACUAAAAUAUAAAUAAAUGCUACCAAUAAGCUGGCAAAAUAAUACGUAUCGUUAUGGAUAUGACCUCCUGGCAAUGAGAAUCGUGUUUUUUUAUGUGGAACAAGAAACAAGCUAUUGUUGAGAUGAUUUUGUAUUAUUUAUUUAUUUUUCUGGAUGAAAUUUUUUGCCAAAUUUCUUCUUCUACAGCGGAAUUCCCAAAUAGUCAAAAGUAGAGUAGGAAUUAAUUAAGGCAGGUUUGACUCGUUAACCGGCUUCCUUCGCUGGUCGUCGCCAAAGGUCAAACACGGGCGUCGACUGCUACUUCCUCAGAUUCAUUUCACAUGCUCUUCUUCGCCAUCGCUUAUCGCUUUCCCUCACCAACCAUUCAACUCUGUACGUAGUCGAAACCAACCCAUGCGAUCAUUCACCAUCACCAUUGCGUAGCUAAUUUUCCUUUGCUGCUGUCACUCGGUAUGUUGACGACCUAUGAAGCGAUUCAUUUAACCCAUCCCUCCCCUAUCAGACGUUGACGGCUUAUUUCCUAAAAAUAAUUGGAGUAUACGGUCAAAGCCUUUUCUUCAAUUGAAAAAAAAUAAAAGAAUAAAAAUAUUGUUUCCUCCGCCGCCUCUGCACCGCUGUUUCCGUGGCGGGCGCUGCUGUCACGCACCGCCGACCUCGAUUUUUUUCUGGACGCGCCGCCCUCCGCUGUCGGUCGUUGGAUCGGAGCUGGAAACCUCCAUCCCACCGUCGGUGCUGGUGGCGGCCGCCUCCCUCGUGAUCUUCCGUGAUCCGGGAGGGCAAGUCGCCGUCGACGUCGGUGGCGGUCACGUGCCCUCGCACAGCCACGUCGUCGGCACACACGCACACAAAAACUAGUAAAUCUUUCCCGCAAUACUUUGGCGCACCGCUUUCCAUUUGUCGGCCGCGUCACGUGGCGGUCGACACACAGCCGUCCUAUUUCCCGGCUUUUGAGCGCCUCCCUCUUUUUGUCAUUAUAUUACACUACGCGUUCGCUCCAAACGAUGUCCGGAACGUCCCGUUACAGCAAUUACGGAUUAAUUAGUAACCCCACCCGACCACCUCACUUGUUUUAUGGGACCAAUUCUUUUUUUAAUAUAUAUAUAUAU